Cyprinus carpio carpio is the source of this 465-nucleotide long non-coding RNA. NCBI's taxonomy places the organism in Eukaryota, Metazoa, Chordata, Actinopteri, Cypriniformes, Cyprinidae. The record is from Ensembl.
GCCGCUGUUUGACCACGGUCAGGCUUAUUGCAUGUUUUAACACAUUGGCUGCAGUUGUUUGAACAGCAUGGGCAGAGAAAACAGCCCAACAUGUUUCAGCCACUCCUCUCCAGCCUGUUUGCUGCGAGCAAUGACCUCCACAUGGAGGUUGUAGUGCUACUUUGAAGGAGUCCAAAUCACUCACGCGCUUAGACUGCAACAUCAGCUCGUCUAUAGGAUGCCUACUGAAGGAUCAGAUGAGAGACAGUCCUUCAGGGUUUGAAUGAAGAGAGCAAAAGAGAGAGUGCAAUCUGCCCCACCGCUGGUAUCAGAUGACCUUCACUGUGCAAACAUAUCCAUCUGUUGUGUCUGCAAAGAUGAUGACAGAGCCAAAUAGUGCCUUAUAAUUAAGUAAAAAUGAAGCAGACAUCAGACACUUAACAAUCCAGAAUUUUACUAGCAAAAGAUCCUGAAGGACAGACACCC